GGAGAGAUGGCUCAGUGGUUAAGAGCACUGACUGCUCUUCCAGAGGUCCUGAGUUCAAUUCCCAGCAACCACG
This 73-nucleotide transfer RNA is filed under the name Mus musculus (house mouse). RNAcentral's name for it is "tRNA-Ser". Lineage: Eukaryota; Metazoa; Chordata; Mammalia; Rodentia; Muridae. The record is from RNAcentral.